UACGAAGGGGGCGAGCGUUGUUCGGAGUUACUGGGCGUAAAGGGCGCGUAGGCGGCGAUCCAAGUUAGGCGUGAAAGCCCCGGGCUUAACCUGGGAAUAGCGCUUAAGACUGGACUGCUUGAGUGCGGGAGAGGUGAGUGGAAUUCCCAGUGUAGAGGUGAAAUUCGUAGAUAUUGGGAAGAACACCAGUGGCGAAGGCGGCUCACUGGCCCGCAACUGACGCUGAGGCGCGAAAGCGUGGGGAGCAAACCGG
This 253-nucleotide ribosomal RNA is filed under the name uncultured bacterium. Its description in RNAcentral is "partial 16S ribosomal RNA". It matches the Rfam family "Bacterial small subunit ribosomal RNA", at positions 524 to 776 of the family's 1533-position model. The record is from RNAcentral.